Molecule: long non-coding RNA, 7578 nt
Organism: Orcinus orca (killer whale)
Lineage: Eukaryota; Metazoa; Chordata; Mammalia; Artiodactyla; Delphinidae
Exons: 3
Source: RefSeq, a predicted model, not a curated record
CCUCCUGCCUACAUUUUUAGUAAUGGGCUACAUUUCUGUGAUUAUUGUUUAUUUUUUAUGAAUUACAUUUAUUUUUUUGUAGCUCUCAUGGAAUUUGGAGGGCACUCUAAUACCUUGUGAUUAUUUGAAGAUUUUCUCCUGGCUUUUCUGUUCAUACUACUUUCUACCUUCGUCUGGGAUGUCCAUCAUAUCUUGACCUCCUGGAGACUACCCACGUAACCUUUAGGACCUAGUUCAAGCAGUACUUUCUUUGUGAAGCCUGCCUUUCUCAAACCCCCAGGAAGAAUGAAUCAUGUCCUCCUUUGGGUCCUCCACAAAGUUGUGAGAAUCUUUCCAACCUAUUAAUUGUUCUCACAAAUUGUUUAUUUGUUCUUCAUAAAUGUAGUGUUUUCUCUAUGAGUUGGAUGGUAUCUGAUUCCCUUUCUAUGUUCUCAGGGCCUAACACAGAAGAAACUCAGAAAUGUUUGUUGAACUUAACUUCCAAAUUCAGUAGAAUUACCUGUGAGGAAUACUCUAGUGCACAUAGGGAUCUAAGUAUGUUUAGCCUGGGGAAGAAAAUACAAAGGAGGGUAGGAGCUUAAAUAUCCCAAGGCCUGUCAGAUUCUGUGCUCAGUUAAGCACAAUGUAAACCAGUGGGUAAAAGUUGGAAGGACAUUUUGUCUCAGUUUAAGAAUUAACUUUCUAAUAGUGAAUAUCUAAUAAUAGAACAGGUUACCUUAAAAACAAUCACGAGUUCCUCAUCAAGUAGAGUCUUCAAGCAUAGGCUGAACAAGUCUGUGACAAAUGUACUGAGGAAGGAAUUCUUUCCUGCAUUCUGAAGGAUAUUGAAUCAGAUGACCUCAGAAGAGUGUUUUGAUCUUAACAGUUCUGGUGCUGUUAAAGAAUAAUUUCCCAAAAGUUGAUAAUAUGACUCCCAUACAUGUAAAGAAUGAAGAAGUGUUAAAGAGUUUAUUCAACCCUUUGAUGAGGCAACUAGAGACAUGGUAAAACAAGUUCAAUAAGAAUUAGAAGAAUAGGAAUGAUCUCCACCAGAUAUAACACAUAUAUAUAUAAAACAUUCUGAUAUAACUUUGCUGAGUUUGAGACAAAACUAGUUAAUGUCCUUCAAGGCAAUAAAAUUGUAACCUUUAGGGUUAUCUUUUUUAUCAGACAGAAAUGAUUUGCAUCUCCACUGGACAAGGUCUACAGGUUAACAUGUAACUUCACAGAGAUUAGAGCCCUUACCUAAUAGUAAGUAGAAGAAGCAAAUACAGUGACAGUCCUCUAAAAAAGUUAAUAUGUGGACAAGCCUGUUAAACAAUGCCCCAGUGUAUUAGCUUCUUAGAGCUGCUGUAACAAAUUACCCCACCUGGGUGGCUUAAAACCACAUAAAAUUUAUUCUCUCACAGUUCAAGAGAAUAGAAGUCUGAAAUCAAAGUGUCACCAGCAUUGGUUCUUUCUGGAGGCUGUGAGGGAGAAUCCACACUUCUCCUCUAGCUGCUGGUGAUGGCUGGCAAUCCUUGGUGUUGCUUGGCUUGUAGGCACAUCACCUCUCUGCCUCUGUCAUAAUGUGGUGUUCUUCCCUGUGUGUCUUCCCUGGUGUCCUCUCUUAUUAGGACUCCAGUCAUAUUGGAUUUAGGGCCCACCCUACUCCAGCAUGACCUCAUCUUAACUAAUUCCAUCUGCAAAGACCCUAUUUCCAAACAAGGUCAUUCUGAGGUUCUGGAAAGUGCAUGACUUUGGGAGGGAUAGAGGGGACACUAUUCAACCUACUACACCCAUUAGGACAGUAAAAGGACGUGCCACCUACUUUUGAACCUUAUUUCCAAGUUUUAAAGACUUCUCAGUUGUGGCAGUCCCUUACUUUCCUAGUCUCUCCCUGAUGUCUUGUGUGUUUCAAUGUUAGUCACCACCUGCAACUAUCUCUAUAUUGAUAAAAUACAAAGGAAAGAUACUAAGUAUGUGUCUAACAGAGGAAUAAGGUAGAGAUAAAAUAAGAAUACUUGAAUGUAAUGAUGCAAAGGCUUCAUGUCCAGUGCAGGUCUCAGGUCACUCAGUGACCUUACUAUCUGGGGAGAAAUCAUUUUCAUGAGCUGUUUUGGUGUGUAACAUGUCCCUGGAAUUAUUUAGUCAGAUUCAAGAGAGUCAGUCUUGGCACACAUUAAAAACAGAGGAGGGGAUUUUACAUUAUACACGCAGCUUCCCUGCCCUCCUUUUUUUGUUUAAAUGAAAGCUUAAAUAGGAUGUCCAGUUAGGCAGAAUUAAGGAUUUUAUAGCAGAGGACUUACUAGCAUUCAUCUAGGUUAGCCUAUGUAGCAAGUCUCUUUAGAGCAGAUUUUUUUUGGUGGGUGGGGAAGGGAGUCAAUUCAAAGUCCCCUCUUAGUGAUACAAAUGUUAGAUGAAUAGGGAUCAUUUAUCCUGGGGGAAGAUUCCGGCAUAAUUUAACAGGAGCUUCUUUAAACUUCGUUCCAAAAACAAACAACAUCUCUGGUUGGCAGAGAUGGUUACUGAAUUACAAGGUGGGUAGAUUUGAGUGGAAAGGGAUUGAGACUCAUUUCCUAUACUUUCACUAUUGAGAUUCCAUGUUCUUGAGGCUUUUUCUGAUGAAUCAAAAUGGCCCCAACCCAGCUGAAGUCAGUUGAUGGGAAAGGCCACCUAGGACUCAGAUGGGAACUCAUUUAUUUAUCCAUUCAUCAUUCUAUCUAUCUAUCUAUCUAUCUAUCUAUCUAUCUAUAUUGAUCUACUGGGGAGGGACGGUAUCUGGGCUGGUAAACUAGGCUCACCACAGACUUAAAUAUUUGCAGGCUUCUCAAAUCUAACUGUUCCAGCCAAGAGUCAUGCCAGAGAAAUGGCUGAGCAUGUGGUUGAAUUAAAUGUGGUAUCACCUGAGGUCCAGGUGUGGGUGCGGGGUACAACUGUGUCCAAGACCAAGAAGCCAUAACUGCCAACUGGGCAUCUAUCAGGCAUGGUGGCCCCAGAGAGAUGGUGCUGGGCUUAACCUGCGAAACUCAGGUUUUCCUCUGCCUGGUCCUUGGGGGCUGAGCAAUUCUUUGCACUGCCAUGGCAGGUAUGCAGAACCUUUCCAGAAGGAGAUAAUGACAUUUCUGAGAAAUAGGGCAGGUAAUGGCACAAGCAAGAAAUUAGAAGAAUAAAAGGGAUAAUGACCUUGGUUUUCUCCAGGUUGAUAAAAUAGCUCAACCAGUUACAAGGCAUUCAGUGACUUGCCUAAUUUUCAUCUUGCUACAAGUCACCCCUAGAAAGCUUGUCCUUGGGAUGUCCCCUCUUGAAACCCAGCCACCAUGAUGUGAGAAGCUCCAGACAACAUGUGCCCAUUUGAACCCCCAGUCAGAUGGCCAGCAUCCACUGCCAGCCAUGUGAGUGCGCCAUCUUGGACAUUCCAGUCUAGUUGAGGACCCACAUGUUUGCAGCCCCAGCUGCCUGUGAUGAUGUGAAAAUGGAAAACAGUAUCUAAUGAACUUAUGAAUUUGGCUAAGACGUCAGUUGAACUCCUAGAUGCCUUCAGACCCAGAUCACAUCAUGUGGGGCAAAAGAAACACCCAGGUUCUUGAGUGGCAAGCACAGGAUUCAGAUAACGCCUAAUGCCAACCCAGCAGUCAGCUGUGAGAAUUGAGCUGUUAAAUGGUUACAGUUAACAGUAGGGUUGAAUUUCCUGCAUAUGUAAAAAGUUGACUGUGGCCUUCUUCAUGCUCCUAUGGUACACUCGUCAUUCUGCAGAAGCAGGAUGGGUGAAUUUGCAGACCCAGAAAUUCUGAGCAAUAAAGACACAAUAUAACCAGUGUAUCACUGAAAUCAUUUUUCUUACAGACACAAUACUGCACUUUAGUGUCAGUGUUAUCUGAGGCUGUAUUUUGCUUAAGAUAAUGAGUUCUGGUACUAAGAAAUUGGAAAUUCUCAAAGGCGUUCACUUUUAAUUUAAACCCAAGUUAAAGGUACAGAGUGGAGACAUCACCAUCAUUGUCAGGGCAUCCGGGGCUUAUUUCUAUCCAGAUUUACUUGUUCCUCCUGUUGGAUGAUGGUGCUGUGCCCUAGCAGCAGCUCUCUGUGGGAAACCUUAGGAACAAUCUUGUGUUAGAAAACGAGGACCAAACCUCGGAAGGAAUGAUGCCUUAAUUAGUUUAAUUAUUCAUGAACUGAUUUAGACUCAUCAACCCUUAUAUGCUAGACAUAGUGCUAAACACCAAACACUCGGGUUACACAGAUGACGACGUGUGGCCCCUGCCCGAGAGGGACUUGUAGGCUGGUCGAGGUUACAGCGUGAAAUGGGUACCCGGAGGUCUCACCCGGCUGCAGAGAGGAGGGAGCGCUCGGAGGUUACUGGAAAGCCCAUUCCAGGUCUCCCUCCUUCCCUGCGUGUUUCAACUGGAUUGGGCACUCCUUUUGAAAGAGAGAAGAUUCCUCAAAAAGUUAGAUAUAGAAUAAGCCUGUGACCCAGCAAUUCCACUCCUAGGUAUACACCCAAGAGAAAUGAAAACAUGUCCACACAGAAACUCGUUGCAGCGUUAUUCAUAGAAGCCAGGAGGUGGAAACAACACAAAUGCCCAUCACCAGAUGAAUGGAUACACUGAUGUGAUCUAACCGCGCAGUGACUAGUACUCAGCCAUACAAAGGAAUGAAGCACUAACACAGGCUGCAAUGUGGAUGAACCUUGAAAACUUGAUGCUAAGGGAAAGAAGCCAGACACAAAAGAUCACAUAUUGACAUAUUGUAUGAUUGCAUUGAUAUGAAAUGUCCAGAAUAGAUAAAUCCAAAGAGAUAGAAAGCAGAUUGGUGGUUGCCUGGGACUGGGGAGAGGGGAAUGGAGACUGACUGCUUAGUAGGGAUGGAGUUGCCUUUUGGGGUGAUGAAAAUGUUCCGGAACUGGAUAGAAGUGAUGGUGCACACAAGUGUAUGUACUAAAUGCUACUGAGCUGUACUCUUCAAAAUGGUGAACUUUAUGUAUGUGAAUUUUGCCUCAAAUAGAGCGAGAGAGAUGGGGAGAGAACCUAGUUAUUUGAGUGAUCAUACCAAGCUGAGGGAGCACCAAUCAGGCAUUCUUAAUUCUCACCUGGGAAAAUUCAUUACUACCAGCAAGAAGGAUUUCUUCAAAGUUACCUGUGGUUCUUGGUACAUUUUAUGACAAAAUAUACUCACUUAAAAAAAAUAAUUAAUUAAUUAAUUUUUUAACAUCUUUAUCAGAGUAUAAUUGCUUUACAUUGUUGUGUUAGUUGCUGCUGUAUAACAAAGUGAAUCAGCUUUAUGAAUACAUAUAUCCCCAUAUCCCCUCCCUCUUGCGUCUCCCUCCCACCCUCUCUACCCCACCCCUGUAGGUGGACACAAAGCACCGAGCUGAUCUCCCUGUGCUAUGCAGCUGCUUCCCACUAGCUAUCGAUUUUACAUUUGGUAAUUAUACUCACUUUUUGAAAUAUAAACAAAGGUGGUCUGAUUCUUACCGUUCCUUUUGCAGGGAGAGAAAUGUGUAACAGACUGACUUCUUGUUCUCGAUGAAUCUCCUGGUUCAUAAGAUUUCAGGGCACGCUUUCCAGAGAAGAAAGCUUCUGUCUGAACUGAGCCUUGAAGGAUGAACUGGAGCCACGUAGAUGAAGAAUUUGGGAAGGAGGAGGGGGGAGAAGGAAUGGCAGUCAGAGGAAACAGCAUGAACAAAAUAAUGUAGCGUGAAAAUACAUGGUGGAUUGGAGGAGCCACAAGCAGGUCAUUGUGACUGAAUGGGAAGGUGAGGCAGAUGGGGCUGUAGAGAUAGGAAUGGAAGGCCUUUUAUGUGAUGCUAAGUUAUCCUGAAGGCAGUGGUGUUCAAGAAAGAGCUCACCUGUGCACAAGCUGAUCGUACAUAUCUCCCAACUCUGAGUUCGGUGAUGUCACAUUGGUCACUUGAAAUUGGCCAUAGCAGGGGCUUCGUGGACGUACAGCCUGUGUAUUUGCACAGAGCCCUGUGCUUGGUUUAAUGCUCUCUUGCCGCUGUCUUGAAAUUCUGAAUCAUUUUUAAACAAGUAACCCUACAUUUUAAUUUUGUACCGGGCCCUAGAAAUUAUGUAGCUGGUCCUGGGUGAGAGAAUUUACACUAUAGUAAUUGGAAAAUGCUACAAAUCAGGGCAGAUCUUUCGAGGACAGGCAUAAUUUUCGAGGUGUGAUUGGAUGGGGAUCGGAAAGUUAGGGGAGUCAGAGGAAAGAUGUCUAAUGAGUUCCUGCUUUAGGUGAUAAGAUGAUAGUGAAUUAUGGAUUCAUUUAUUAUUUAUAUAUCAAAGAAAUACGUAUAGUGACUGCCUCUUCUGCCUUAGGGACUUUGCAAAGCACUAGGAACUAAAAAACACAUAGAACUCAGUCUCGGGGAAAGGGGGGUCAGGAAGACUAGUCAUUAAUCUGAAUUAUGAAGCAGAAUAGAAGUGACGUACAAAGGCAAGUGAGCAAGAGAAUCUGUGUCUUUUCAGAGAACGGCACUCAGUCCCAUGUGGCUGAAGUUGGGUGCUUCUGGGGAUGUGAAGAGACCAAAGAAGGGUCAGUGGGUGCCAAUCACCAAGACCGUGGCCAAAAUUUUGGUUUAUUUGGCAGGUGGUGGGGAACCACUAUAGGCUAUAGGCAGAGUAGUGAUGUGCCUAGAUGUUCAUUGUAGAAAAAUCCUCUUUGCCAGUGUGGCAAGUAGAUUGGAGUCAGGGGGCCAGCCAGGAUGCAUUUACAGCUGUCUAGGAUGAGGCUGAGGGCUGCCUGCCAUGCUAAGGCAGCGGCAGUGGGAAGAAAGAGAAGGGAACUGUUUGAAAUAUUUAGGUAAAAAUGGCAGAAUUUGAUGUCUGGAUGUGGGUAAUGAGGGAGGGGAGAGAGACUAGGAUUCCUCCCAGGUUUCUGGAGUGGAUAUCUAUGUGGAAAAAUAAAGAGAAAAAAUGUUAAAAAUCUCUGAAACACCUCUUCUGUCCCUGAAACCAUCCUAUCUUAUUUUGCUCAGAGAGGGUACAUAAGUCCCACAUAGGCAAUCAAAACUGAAACAUGAAAAUGUGUAGUUUAAUGAAAAUAUGUUCCAGAAAAAAAUUAUACCUGGAAAGUGUUGGUUCAAUACAAAUGCAUCUUGUUUUUAAGCCAAUGUGGGAAAGGUAGACACACUUCAAUUUCCUAACAACAAUAAAAUGCUGAUGGGCACACCCAACAUCUCAUGGCCUGUUGCCUUAAUUUAGACAGAAUCCAGGCCAGGGAAGACAUAGGAAGAUGAUGAAAGGAUAGAGAUGUAAUUGAGGGCAGAUUGGUCAUAAGUGGAGUUUGGAGACUUAGCCUGUGGGGGGAUCCUUGCUUUAAAUGGAAACUAGUGCAAUACUGUCUAUUUAGAAUUUCAUGCUAAAGGGAAAAAUAAACCCAAUGACUGUACUUGGGAAAAUGAAAUGUAUUCAGUUUACUUCCACAAAGAGGUAUGGAUUCAUUUUAUUUUCAAAAUAUGUGUGUCAUAGAAAUACAAAGAGUUCAUCUCUAUCCUCAAGGAGCUUGUCAUCAUGAAUAGAAAUAACCAGCUCUAAUAGAUGAGACACAAUAUACAAAUGGACAAUGGCCAGACCUAUGGUGUAAAAUUUAUAAAGAUAACAUUCUGACCCCAAAUCUGCAGCA